GACUUGCUCGCGGUAGCUCUUUUCGUUGAGGCAAACCCCGCGGCCGUGCAGCAGGGCGUGCAGCGGCUUCUCCUCGUCCUGCCGGGGGAGGCAGCGCAGCCCCUGGGCGCAGCGCUCGGUGUAGACGCCGCACGACUGCCCCUCGGCCAGGGCGCAGGUCAUGCAGCAGCCGCAGCCCGGCUCCUUGACCAGCUCGCAGCCCAGGGGGCUGGGGGGGCACAUGGAGAGGGCUUUCUCGUCGCAGGGCUCGCAGUGCACGAAGGAGCCCAGGCUCUGGGCCGGCCCCGCAUAGGCGGCCAGCAGCAGGAGGACCGCGGGAGCGAGCCUCAGUGCUUUGAACGCCUCCUGCUCCAUCACAGUGACUGCUCAAGGCAGGACACCUGAUCCUAUCGGAAUCCACCCACGGGAACCAGCAAGUGAUUCUUGAACAUUUAUGCCAGAGAAAUGAAGACUUAUCUUGACAUGAAAAUGAAUGGACGUUUAUUUGUAAUAGCCAAACCUGGAAACAAUCCAAGUGUCCUUCAACAGAUAAUCCAAGACGGAGGAGAAGCAUCUCCAUGGCACCUCACUCUGAUUUGCGAGGAUUUGGCCAGAGAAACUGUUCUCAAGAGUGUGAAUUAGGUGGCAGCUACUAUUUUAUGGUACCUCGCUAUCCACUUUGUAAGAGUCUCCGAGAGCAGAGGGAGCACAUCCCCUGACACCUCGCACAUGACAGUUGCUUCAUCAGUGCUGGUUGUGCUCCUGAGAACUCAGCAUGGAGAGAGGCCUAGUCCCCGCUCCCCUGCUCCCAAUUGCUCUGUGACUCAUUCUCACGGCUCGCCCUUCAGGUUCUCGUUCUUGAAUUUCUCCUGCUCCCUCCCACUCCCAGUCCUUUGCCAUGUCUCCCCUGUGCCUGGAACACUUUUUGAUGCAGGUCACCUCCAGGACUCUGCCACUUUCAAGUUGAGUGUUCCAGGUAGGUCACUGAACCCCUCUGAGUUUCAGUGUCUUUAUCUGUAAAGAUAAAAACUAGACAUAACCUUUGGCUGACUGGGAGAGUUGGGAUUGGAUAAGGCAAGUACUGAGUCCAAGGCCUGGCUCUGAGUCCCUGCCCCAGGGACAGCAGCUCCUGUGAUUUUGGUUCAUCAUGGUAGGUCCCUCCUUCUCUCUCUCUUCUUGGGAACUGCCACCAUCCUUUCUGUUCUUUAACCUGCUUCUCCGCCAAUAAAGGCAGAGUGGAACACUCUC
This 1227-nucleotide long non-coding RNA is filed under the name Homo sapiens (human). RNAcentral describes it as "IGFBP5 antisense RNA 1, transcript variant 2 (IGFBP-AS1)". Lineage: Eukaryota; Metazoa; Chordata; Mammalia; Primates; Hominidae. The record is from RNAcentral.